CAGAAAGAAAGGAAAACAGUCAAGCAAGUCAAAAUACUACUACUUUAGCCAUUAAAAUCAAGGACCUUUAGUUCUUCCUCAAGGACUAGAGAAUACUCUCAGCCAUAUCCUUUGACCUGUUUCGCAGAUACUGAAACACCAGGUGGGAAAAGUUAACUGUAUCUGCCCACAAGCAGGUAGACCCAUGUGGUUGGAACCAGGUUGAUGGUGUUGACUCCUGAUUACCUGACCACCAACCAAUCAGAAGAACGAGCACCAGCUGAUGCCACAUUGCUUGUUGAACACUUUAAGACAGGGCACUACCCCCUCCAGGACAGGACGCACAGUCUUGACCACAGCAGCCCGCUGUGCCCCUCUUUGCCUGGCAAAGCAGUCAAGCUAUUUCUUUGUACUUCACCCAAAACCCUUGUCUCUGUGUUUCUGUUCAGCACCAGUGAACAGAGGCUGAGUUUCAGCAAUUCACAGUCUCUCUCGAAAUAUUUUAUUUGACAAGUGUAAGGCUUUUUUCAUCUUAAGCAGUUUUAUAACUUGCAGUCUGAGGUGCGACAGCAAAACUAGCACAGAUUUCUUGUUCUUUGCUUGCAAUUUCAAGAAUAAAAGAUCUGUUCUUAAACCAUAAGUCUUAGCAACCUCCUCGUAGGACUUCUUUCCUUAAGUCACCUUUUCACUUGGAGGAAGCACUUCACGACUUCUCUUUGGCAUACCCCAAUUGACAAAUCAUUACUCUAGAGUUUUGGCGCCAUUAUUAAGUAAGUAAGGGUCAUUUGAACAUAAACCCUGCUGAUAUGAAGACUGCGGGCCUGACUACCAAGUUGACUGGUAAGUUUCUAAUAGUUGGGGUUUGCUGAAAAAAGGGAGGAGUCACAGCUGAGCCAGACCACGCGAGAUGUCUUCACGCGAGAUUUCCUCAUCCUACUCAGAAGGUGCACACGUGUGAAUUGUUCUUUUCUGAUGGAAUAGACCAGGGUUGACUGUGGGUAACUGAAACUGGAUGAAGGGAUGCUGCUGGAAAACAAGUGAAGAUCCCUGGGCAAAGACUGACAAAACUCUCUCUUAAGGCCACUUGGUUUCACAGAUUCUCAAAGGGAAGAAAUAAUGGAUAUUAUUUAAUAACAGAAUUUCUAGGCUUAGGGCUGUGUGUUUGUGAGGAGUCCCAAUUCAUAUUUCCAUGGACCAAAAGGGCCCCUUUCCCACCAACGUGUGAAGCAAUGGGAGGUGAGACCUCACCUUAAACACCAAAUGUGUUCUCUGAUCCAGCAUAAAAAAGGCCCUUGAAAUCCUUCUCCCCAGACCGCCACACAUGUUGGUGGAAGGUCUCUCCUUUACUGAAGCACACUCAGAGUCCCUCGCUGCAUGACCUGCUCCUCCUAUUCUGCUGAGGCCAAAAUGUGUCAAAUGGACAGAUGGCUCUGCCAGAGAUAGUCAGAUUUUGUCAAACCAAGAAAAUUAAAGCCAGGCCCUGUCAUAAAAACACAGCUUAUGGGUCUGCCGGAUGCACCAGCAAAACCGGUCUCAUUCACAGCUGCACUCCCUCCUGGCAUUUCAACGUUGGCCAAAUGUUGAUUCGAAGCAUAACUGACUCAGAAAUCUCCCAGGCAACCUCUGCUUCAGCCGACACAGCCGACUGCUUUUGGAUUCUACACACAAUAGAGGCCACCUCAUAGAGAAGCACUAGGAAAAGUACAGAGGAAAGAAACAGAAGAGACAUGUCUAAGAAGAAAACUGCCAGGCUCCUCUGUCCAUGAGGAUUCUCCAGGCCAGAAUACUGGAGUGGGUUGCCAUGCUCUCCUCCAGGGGAUCUUCCCAACCUAGGGGUUGAACCCAGUCUCCUACAUUUCUGGUGGAUUGUUUAUACUCUGAGCCACAAAGGAAGCCCAAGAAGAAAACACAGUCUAUGAUUUUACCACUCAGAGAAUCUCUAGGAAUGUUUUGUGUAGUCUCUCCAAUGAUCUCUCCCCAGCACCACCAUGAUGUUUUUAAGUUUAUCCAACACAGGGUGGAGAAGACGUGAACAUGCUGAGAAUAAGACCUUUGUUUUGCUAGCUUCCAUGGAGAGGGGCCAAGGCAGAAAAAGUCAAAAGUAAGCUGACCACCUCUCCACUGAGCUCCAGGUCUUUACUAGUACAAGUGAAACGGGACACUCAGAGCCGUGCAGACUCCAGAGAUCUCAGCCCCACUGUGUGCCUUGCUCCAUCAUGACUAAUUAUCUUUGUGUCUUAUAUCCCUAUUUAUUUCAGACACACGGGAAGCCCAGCCUUUCCUAUUUUUUUCUAGUACCCUAGCCACUAAUCCGUUUCUGAAUAUCCUCUCUCUCUCUCCUUGGUGGUGGUGGUUUAGUCUCUAAGUCGUGUCCAACUCUUGUGAACCCAUGGACUGUAGCCCACCAGGCUCCAAUGUCCAUGGGAUUUCCCAGGCAAGAAUA
Molecule: long non-coding RNA, 2422 nt
Organism: Bubalus bubalis (water buffalo)
Lineage: Eukaryota; Metazoa; Chordata; Mammalia; Artiodactyla; Bovidae
Exons: 3
Source: RefSeq, a predicted model, not a curated record